This is an RNA transcript of Sapajus apella (tufted capuchin), 695 nucleotides long. It is a transcript of the gene named COMM domain-containing protein 1 pseudogene, with no coding region annotated. The record is from RefSeq and is a predicted model, not a curated record. The transcript has a single exon. Lineage: Eukaryota; Metazoa; Chordata; Mammalia; Primates; Cebidae.
AUGGCAGUGGGCGAGCUUGAGGGCAGCAAGCCCCUGAGCAGGCUGCUGAAUGUGAUAGCCCAGGAGACUUUCCACAGGCACCCUGGCAUCACAGAGGAGCUGCUGCAGAGUCACCUGUAUCCAGAGGUGCCACCCGAGGAGUUCCGCCCCUUUCUGGCAAAGAUGAGAGGGAUUCUUAAAUCUAUUGCGUCUGCAGACAUGGAUUUCACCCAGCUGGAGGCAUACUUGACUGCUCGAACCAAAAAGCAAAGUGGGAUCACAUCUGACCAAGCUGCUGUUAUUUCUAAAUUCUGGAAGAGCCACAGGACAAAAAUCCACGAGAGCCUCAUGAACCAGAGCCGCUGGAAUAGCGGGCUUCAGGGCCUGAGCUGGAGAGCUGAUGGCAAGUCUCAGUCAAGGCACUCAGCUCAAAUACACAAGCCUGUUGCCAUUAUAGAGCUGGAAUUAGGCAAAUAUGGACAGGAAUCUGAAUUUCUGUGUUUGGAAUUUGAUGAGGUCAAAGUCAACCAAAUUCUGAAGACGCUGUCAGAGGUAGAAGAAAGUAUCACCUCACUGAUUAGCCAGCCUAACUGAAGAUGAUGUGUGAGGAGUUGGAGUUCUUGAGACCAAGGUAUUCAUGAUCCCUCUCCAAUAAUCUUUUUUAGAAAAAUUCUUGUGUCCCCAUUGGUAUUACAUCUUCGCAUUCAAAAAAAAAA